CAGGUAUCACUUUUUCAAGUCAUAAUGGGCCCAGAAAAUCAUGGCGAAGAUGUUCCAGAUCCAUUACUCCUGAUUACAGUUGCUAAUGUGUCAGAUACUCUUAGUGGAAUCUCACAGGUGCAGCAGUUAAUACAGGCAUAUGGAGCAGUAAACCGUACUCUAAUUCUCAGCAACAACAUGAUCAUAUUUGAAAUGAAAACAUCUGAAAUGGCAAGGUUGGCUUAUGAACAGCUGAAAAAGCUACCUUACACUGUACAAAAAUGUACGUUGUCUUUUUUCUGGGGUUCAAGUCAAAUUUCAGAAACAACAAAGGAAGGAGAUGUCCCUAUACCUGCUCAGAGACCUGAAACCAGCAUUCAACAUUUCUCCUGUUGUGUGAAAAAGGGAAUGCAAGCCUUUAGCAAAACACAAGGGAUGGACGAAUGUGAAAGAAACAUGAAAAGAUCAAAGAAAGCCUAUAAACGAGAAGGCAGGAUUUUGCAGUUACAGUCAGAGGUUGGAAAUCAGGUCAAAAAUCAAAAGAAAACCAAAGAACCUGAAAAAACAGGCAAGUAUCUUGGGCACAAUCUGGGCACCAAACAUAUUUUCUCUGGCAUAAGUAGACAACAU
This 609-nucleotide long non-coding RNA is filed under the name Astyanax mexicanus (Mexican tetra). RNAcentral's name for it is "lncRNA (ENSAMXG00005000319.1)". Lineage: Eukaryota; Metazoa; Chordata; Actinopteri; Characiformes; Acestrorhamphidae. The record is from RNAcentral.